UACACAGACACAAACAGAGACACACAGAGACAGAGAGAGAGAGUCAUACACACAGAGACAGACACAGAGAGAGACACACACACACAGACAGAGAGAGAGAGACACACACACACAGACAGACACACAGAGACACAGAGAGAGAGUCAUACACACAGAGACACAGACACAGAGAGAGACACACACACACAGACAGAGAGAGAGACACACACACAGACACAGAGAGAGAGAGACACACACACAGACACAAACACAAACACAGAGACACACAGACACACACACAGAAACACAGAGAGAGUCACACACACACAGACACAGAGAGAGAGACACAGACAGAGAGAGAGAGACACACACACACAGACACAAACACAGAGAGAGACAGACAGACACACACACAGAAACACAGAGAGAGUCACACAGACACAGAGAGAGAGACAGACAGACACACACACAGACACAAACACAGAGAGAGACACACAGAGACACAGACACAGAGAGAGAGACACAGACACAGAGAUCAGCCAGCCCCUACCAGUCCACGGGGUCGUGGGCCAGCCGGAGGCAGCCAGCAGGGAAGAGAACAUGCAGACUCCACGUCGGCAGCAGCGCGGCUCGGGGGGCGGCGGCUGCAUUUAAACCCGCCGCCCGCGGCCUGUCCGGGACCAGCCCAUAAUAAUUGGGGGAAGGAAAAAAAAGCCAGAGGCAUUACCAGGAACUCGGAGUCAUCCAGAAUCCCAUCAGCCACCGUUGCAUCCUAAAUAAACCCUCCUAUGGCGAGGGAACCAGUGAGAGAGGUUGGGAGUGGAGACGAGAUUUGUCCACGUCGGCACUGCGCAACAUGGAUCCUGCUCUGCUGGAACCUUCUCUCUACACAGUCAAAGCAAUCGUCAUCUUGGACAACGACGGGGAGCGUCUCCACGCCAAGUACUACGACGACACCUAUCCCUCUACGAAGGAGCAGAGGAGCUUCGAAAAGAGCAUCUUCACCAAGACGCACAAGAAUGACAGCGAAAUUGCGUUCCUGGAGGGUCUGACCAUCAUCUACAAAAGUUCUGUUGACCUGUACUUCUACAUCGUAGGGAGCCCCCAUGAAAAUGAGCUCAUGCUGAUGGCCGUUCUCAACUGCCUGUUUGACUCCGUCAGCCAGAUGUUACGGAAGAACGUGGAGAAGAAGUCCCUGAUGGAGAACUUGGACGGAGUGAUGCUGAUCACGGACGAGAUCGUGGACGGAGGGGUCAUCUUGGAGAGCGAUCCCCAACAGGUCAUUCAGAAAGUGAACUUCAGGGCGGUGUCUGAACCGGCCUACGGCUUCGUGCUCUUUGACUACUUAACGAGCGGCAGUAGCUCUGACAGCCGACUUCUGAACUAGCGGCAGGGUACACAGGUUGACGACACGCCUUUAACGGAACAGAGUAUGUCUCAGGUCUUGCAGUCAGCAAAGGAACAGAUCAAGUGGUCCUUGUUGAAGUAAACUUGGAAUCCCCCCACCCCACCCACCCCACCCCUGCCACCCACCCACCCACCUUCCUCUCGCCUGCUCUUCCCGUCCGUCGAAGUCCACGCCACGGCUGGGACCCGCCAAGGGUGACAUACGUCCCGGGGAUGAAGACGAGAGGCGAUCACUAUCCGCCAGGGCCAACCCGCGUUGCAAUUCCGCUGCCCCCCCCAACCCUCCACCCCGCGAGCUCGGGGGUGUCUCGGAGCAGCUCGCUGAGGGGCUGGUUCUGCCCCCGCCGUGCGUAGCCCGCUGCGAGAGACUCCCGUUACGCACGGGGUUGGGGGGGUGGCGGGGUCGCAAAUCCAGAGCAAUUGCGCACAAGAUGCCGGGAGAAACCCAGCAGGCCGGUCGGCAGCCGUGGCGAGGGGAAAACGAGUCGACGUUUCAGGGCCGAGACCCCUCGUCGGGACUGGGAAGGAAGUCGUGCGGGGGGGGGGGGGGGGAGA
Molecule: RNA transcript, 1941 nt
Organism: Mobula hypostoma (lesser devil ray)
Lineage: Eukaryota; Metazoa; Chordata; Chondrichthyes; Myliobatiformes; Myliobatidae
Gene name: coatomer subunit zeta-1-like
Exons: 10
Source: RefSeq, a predicted model, not a curated record